RNAcentral lists this unclassified non-coding RNA (451 nucleotides) under Schistocerca americana (American grasshopper). RNAcentral's name for it is "uncharacterized LOC124553916, transcript variant X2". The record is from RNAcentral. Lineage: Eukaryota; Metazoa; Arthropoda; Insecta; Orthoptera; Acrididae.
GCUGGUUCUGUUUGUGUGUGACGUAAUGCAGCAGAUUUUCACGGUUUAUCCGUGGGCCCAGGACUGUGGUGUUCCCCGGCAGGCCAGAGGCCGUGGGCGAUGGACUUCAGGAAUUACAACUGUCUCGUCAUAAAUACCUGGCCAGUGAGAUGGAGUUGUACCACUUCUAUCAGUCCAGACAUUUGUCAAAGAAGUGCAGUUUAUGAAUGACCAAGUGGAUGAAGCGGCCACACUCUCACCGGUCCAGAUAUUCCUCAAAGAAGAAGAAGGUGCAUAUUGUAAGGCAGAAGAGCCUGUGCUGGUCUCACUUGUCCCAGUGCUUCUCAAAGAAGAACAUGUGCUUGAUGAAUCGCCGGAGGACUUUGAAGUUGGCAGUCACCCAUUGCUAAUAAAUCUGAGUUUCUGAAGUGAAAGUCCAAAGAAGAGAAGACAGCAAGAAGUAGCUAUUUGU